Non-coding RNA from Canis lupus familiaris (dog), 144 nucleotides. NCBI's taxonomy places the organism in Eukaryota, Metazoa, Chordata, Mammalia, Carnivora, Canidae. The record is from Rfam.
UGUGCUGGGAACUGUAUAUUCAUUACUUCAUUUUAAAGUGGAUUAAAAAGUGAGGCAUACAGUUUUUUUCUUCCUAGUUAGAUGCUUGAGAGCUCAAAGCCUUGCAGAGACCCCAUCACAGAAGAAUUGUCUUGGAGGAAGAGG